Otolemur garnettii (small-eared galago) is the source of this 602-nucleotide long non-coding RNA. RefSeq lists it as uncharacterized. The record is from RefSeq and is a predicted model, not a curated record. Lineage: Eukaryota; Metazoa; Chordata; Mammalia; Primates; Galagidae. The transcript is spliced from 3 exons.
AGACCUAUGUCCCAGCCACCUAUCUUGUAAGUUUCCAUAUGUGCACCCUCAUUGGUGCUAGGCUGCCACCCCUUUUCUUUGCAGAUAUGGACAGUCACCAUCUCCAGGACCUGUGGUGGGAAAGUCCAGGACUGGUCAGAAUGUGAGCCUAUGUGACUAGUGUGGAAUUGGAACUAACUGUUGAGAGUAGAAAGACAGACUUUUGCAGUAACAAGCAGCAGCAGGAAGAAUUAGAAUGUAUGGUGAAAAAUCAACACCAGGAACGCCAGGCAUUGUUGGAUGCUGCUCAGAGGCCUUUUUAUGUGUGAUGCAGGAACACUGAUAUGAAGGGCCAGCAAGCUUCCUCAGGAGUUGCUGGAGUAUCUCCUUGGAAAACACACCACUUAACCAUGCUGUGAAGGAACAGUCAGCCGAGGACCCAAGGCUUUUCCUUCUCCUGAUCCAUAUUCUGGUCUUAAUACCACAGACACCCUGCAUGGAGGAUGACAGGACUGAGUCCCAGGGAUUGAUCAGAUGUCUAUUGGAUGUGAACUGUGCAUUCUGAAGUUGGCCUUCUGACUUGUUACACCAGAGAAGUUUCUGUACUUUCUUUUUCUCUGUAA